Molecule: ribosomal RNA, 216 nt
Filed under: Glomeromycotina sp.
Lineage: Eukaryota; Fungi; Glomeromycota
Description: partial small subunit ribosomal RNA
Rfam family: Eukaryotic small subunit ribosomal RNA (bases 40-216)
Source: RNAcentral
GGGUCAGUAGGUUGGUCGUGCCACCGGUACGUACUGGCCUCACUGAUUCCUCCUUCCUGAAGAACCGUAAUGCCAUUAAUUUGGUGUUGCGGGGAAACAGGACUGUUACUUUGAAAAGAUUAGAGUGUUUAAAGCAAGCUAACGCUUGAAUACAUUAGCAUGGAAUAAUGAAAUAGGACGAUCGAUCCUAUUUUGUUGGUUUCUAGGAUUGACGUA